This 119-nucleotide ribosomal RNA is filed under the name Nelumbo nucifera (sacred lotus). The record is from RNAcentral. Lineage: Eukaryota; Viridiplantae; Streptophyta; Magnoliopsida; Proteales; Nelumbonaceae.
GGGUGUGAUUACACCAGCAUUAGUGUAUCGAAUUUCCUCAAAAUUCUGAAGUUAAAUAUGAUUGGGCAAGAGUAGUAGUGGAAUAGAUAACUUCUUAAGAAGUCUUCGUGUUGCACCUC